UUUCUAGAUGGAAACCAAAUUUUAGGUCAUCCUUGAAUUCGUUUCAAAACAUAUCUGUUUGGAUACGUUUUCCGGAACUCCUAGUAGAAUAUUUGAUAAGGUCAUAAAAGUAUAUUAUUUUAUUUCAUAAACUCUCGACUUUAUAUUGAUAUUUAAUGGUUUAAAGAUAUAUUAAGUAAUUUUUUUUCCGAGAUACGAACUACUACUAUUUUAUUUAUUUGUCUGUAGGAAGGAAGAUUACGGUUUCAAGUGAUAUUUUAACACCGCUCGGAUCAAAUGAGGCAAGACCCAUAAGCCCAAUCAUCUCACAUCAACCCAUCAAUAUGUGAACAGGUCAUGUGGGUCAUUGAAGUAUACCACUUUACUCUUUCAAAAUAAACAACAAAACAACUUCAGCAAUAAGCAUUACAGGGGCAAAACAAAAAGAAGAAAAAGAUAAGAAGUAGCUCCACUUCUUGCGGAACCAACUCCCAAAAGAAAAGAUAAGCAUGAAAUCAGAUUACUUUGGGAGGAUAUACUCAGAUCUUGGGGCUGACUUUUCGGUGGGAAAAAGGGGAAAAACAGGCUAGAUGAUCGUGAAUUUAGGGGGCGACAUUCUGAGCAGCGAAAUUCAGCAACAAACCAGAAGAAAACUAGCAACAACGAACUCAGGGGAAGUUGAACUCGGCGACAGAGGAACCGAGGUGGUUGUAGUUCUCGGUUUGCUACGAAAUAGGUUGGAAUUUCGUUGAGUUGAAAGUUGUACUUUGGGGGAAAGUUUCUGGGCUGGUUUUAGUUGAAGUAAAUCAGCAGGAAAAAAAGGUUGAACUGAGAGACAUCGCAAGGGAUCUGAAGAGAAGAACUAAGAUAGAAGCUGCGGUGGAGCAGUAUAUUGUUUGUGGGCCUGUUCGCGGUUGUUUCUCCUAUUUUCACUCUAGAAAAAUUGAAAUUUGAAGAAUCAAAGAUUAAGGGAAUUUGCAACAAGGAACCAAGGACUAAUAAAUAUUACCUUUUUCUACGUCUUUUGUAGCUAAAGGACUCGUGCUCAGAUAUUGGAGCAAGCUUGUCAGAUUCCGUUGCCUCUAAGUGAAAGUUCAUCUUCGGAUGAGGAAACUGAAGAAAUUUUUGAGAUGGCUGACCGUACCUUAAAGCAGCUUGAUGUUCCUACCUUUGAUCCUAAUAUGCAUAUUAGAUGGUGAGACAGAAUGUGAAAUCAAGCCUAGACUGAUUAGAGCAUUACCCACAUUUUCAAGCUUCCGCAAUACUAGCUCCUUGGGUUCAGUUUACAUGAAUGAGGCGAACAGAUUCUUGAAAGAAUUUCACAUAGCAUGUGCGGGGAUGAAACCUGCUGACGUAACCCUUGACCAGCUCAAGUUAAAGGCAUUUCCUUUUGCCUUGACUGAUGCUGCCAAGGAGUGGUUGUUCGAACUUCCGGCAGGAACCAUCAUAACCUGGACUUAGAUGCAAGAAAAAUUCAUUGAAAAAUAUUAUCCGGCAUCUCUGGCGACAAACUUUUAGAAAAGAAAUUGUGGGAUUCAACAAGAAGAUGCAGAGACAUUUCAUGAGUAUUGGGAGCGUUUCAUAAAGUUACGAGACAGCUGUCCUAACCAUCAGAUCAGUGAGAAAUUGGUAGUGCAAUAUUUUUAUGAAGGGCUCACGGAGUCGGAUUGGAACUUAAUUGAUGCUGCAAGUGGCGGAGCACUGGUUGAUAAGACACCCGUAGAUGCAAAGAUACGGAUAGCGAACAUGGCAGCAAACUCUCAGUAUCGAGGAGGUCGAAAUAUAAAGUCCACUUUUGUACGUCAAGUUAAUAAAGUGGUGAGUUCUAACCUCGAGCAACAAGUAGCGAGUAAUGAUCGAGAAAGGGCAAGAAAAAGCAUGUGGCAUCUGUUCAAUGGUAGGACACCCAACUGAUAUGUGCCCCACUAUUCAAGAGGAACAAGUGAAUUCUAUUAGCGGUGGUCAGGGGCAGCAAAGACGUUAUGAUCCGUUCUCUCAAAAUUAUAAUCCGGGGUGGAGAGAUCAUCCAAACCUGAUAUAUGGCAAUGUUCAGCAAUAGACAGGCAACUCCAACCUCAGACAACCUAAGCCAUGCAGAACUUAGCAACCUAGCCCAAACAAUAAAUCCAAUUGGAGGAGGAAGAUUUAGAAAAUGCAGAAGAAAAAAACAUUCCUAGAAAAAACCCAAUUCAAGUGAAGAAAAAUCAUAGCAUUAACUCUACUAGUAUUUUAGGAAUGAAGGCUAAUAAAUCCCUUAGAGUUCCGAAGAUUAGCUUCCAAGUUAAAAAGGGCAAUUCUUGUUCAUUUGUUCAAAAUCAAACUUAAAUCGUUAAGGAUGAUCAACAAUCACCUUCGACACAUGAUAGCGAACCUCCAGGUCUCCCAUUCCCGCAAAGCGGUACAAGAGACGAGCUCCCCUCCAUCUAUAAUAGCUCAAGCAAUCAUGCCACCCCCAUCUCUCUCAAAAAUUCCAACCUCCUUCCCACCAUCUCCUCUCAGCCAAGUUCCGCCUGCGAAGCCUCGAUUAAUGCACCAUCUACUCCCCAUAUUCCCAACUCUGAAAUUAUGGCCGACAUUAGCAUGCCCUAUGCAAUUGGAAAAAAAAAAGAAAUUAAACCAUGAGUGUAGCAUUAAAGGUGAUAAUAACCCCUUACAUAUUCCAAUCUCAGUCCGAGUAUGAAUUAAAUCCCCUUCAACCACCAAUGGAAAACCCUCUAACCUUCCUCUUGCAAUUAGAAAGCAUAAUCUUAAAUCUCAUGUUACCUCAAAAUCUCCUAACAUCCUUUGUUUCGGGGAUUGAAGUGAUAGGCUUCAAAUUGAACCUGAACUUUGUAUCGUCGGGGAACUUAACUCUGGAAAUCAAUCUGAUGAUCUCGCCAAUCCUUCUUAUGACGAGUCGAUGUUUAGCUCGGAGUCAAUUCCGUCGUUCCCCCCUUUGCAAUUGCUAAUAUGAAGACAAUUAUGUGGAAUGUUAAAGGUGCAGCGUGUAAGGAAUUUGUCACAUGUUAUGUGCUUAAUUCAAUCUCAUCAUCCUGUUAUACUUAUUAUUUUGGAAACAAAAGCUAAGGAUAGCAGAGCUCAAGAAGUCUGCAAAAAAAUUAGGGUUUAACAGCAAUAGUACAAUCGGUGCUAGGGGUUUGAAGGGUGGUAUUAGGCUUUUCUAGAAGAAGCCAGCAGAAUUGGUGUCCUUGUUUAAGUUUGUCCUAAUAAUCCGGAGGUCCUUAUCACUGGUAUUCAUGCCCCAUCUACAGCUAAAGACAAGAAAAUCUUAUGGAAUGACCUCGAAAAUAAUCUCCCCCCUUCCAACGCCCCUUGGAUGGUGGUGGGAGAUAUGAACGAAGUCCUGAAUCAAUCGGAGAAAAUGGGAGGGAGGCCUGUCACAGCUUCUCAAGGCAGCAACUUUUCAGAUUGGUUUGAUGUUGUCGGUCUUGUUGAUCUUGGUUAUAAUGGGCCAUCUUACACUUGGAAUAAUGGAAGAUAUGGGUUGGAGCUAAUAAGAGAAAGGCUAGACAGAGCACUUGCAAAUGCAACUUAGCUUGAUCUUAAUCCUCAUACCCAGUCAAGUUUGUCUAAAUAGGUUGAUCAAGUGAUCGUAGCUAAAGCAGCUCAAGUGUUUCGAUUAGUAUUUUAUAACAAGUUUGUAAAGUUGUAUAAAUAGCUCACCUAGUUUAUUGGGUUGUA
Chenopodium quinoa (quinoa) is the source of this 3660-nucleotide long non-coding RNA. RefSeq lists it as uncharacterized. NCBI's taxonomy places the organism in Eukaryota, Viridiplantae, Streptophyta, Magnoliopsida, Caryophyllales, Amaranthaceae. The record is from RefSeq and is a predicted model, not a curated record. The transcript is spliced from 3 exons.